CGUUAGCGGCGGACGGGUGAGUAACACGUGGGUAACCUACCUAUAAGACUGGGAUAACUUCGGGAAACCGGAGCUAAUACCGGAUAAUAUUUCGAACCGCAUGGUUCGAUAGUGAAAGAUGGUUUUGCUAUCACUUAUAGAUGGACCCGCGCCGUAUUAGCUAGUUGGCAAGGUAACGGCUUACCAAGGCGACGAUACGUAGCCGACCUGAGAGGGUGAUCGGCCACACUGGAACUGAGACACGGUCCAGACUCCUACGGGAGGCAGCAGCG
RNAcentral lists this ribosomal RNA (272 nucleotides) under uncultured Staphylococcus sp. RNAcentral's name for it is "partial 16S ribosomal RNA". It matches the Rfam family "Bacterial small subunit ribosomal RNA", at positions 90 to 356 of the family's 1533-position model. Lineage: Bacteria; Bacillati; Bacillota; Bacilli; Caryophanales; Staphylococcaceae. The record is from RNAcentral.